CCUACGGGUGGCAGCAGUGAGGAAUAUUGGUCAAUGGGCGAGAGCCUGAACCAGCCAAGUCGCGUGAAGGAUGACGGCCCUACGGGUUGUAAACUUCUUUUGUCAGGGAGCAAUUGGGUCCACGCGUGGGCUUAGCGAGAGUACCUGAAGAAAAAGCAUCGGCUAACUCCGUGCCAGCAGCCGCGGUAAUACGGAGGAUGCGAGCGUUAUCCGGAUUUAUUGGGUGUAAAGGGAGCGUAGACGGCAAGGCAAGCCAGAAGUGAAAGGGCAGGGCUCAACCCUGUACAUGCUUUUGGAACUGUGGUGCUAGAGUGCAGGAGAGGUAAGUGGAAUUCCUAGUGUAGCGGUGAAAUGCGUAGAUAUUAGGAGGAACACCAGUGGCGAAGGCGGCUUACUGGACUGUAACUGACGUUGAGGCUCGAAAGCGUGGGGAGCAAACAGGAUUAGAUACCCUAGUAGUC
This 461-nucleotide ribosomal RNA is filed under the name uncultured bacterium. RNAcentral's name for it is "partial 16S ribosomal RNA". It matches the Rfam family "Bacterial small subunit ribosomal RNA", at positions 338 to 795 of the family's 1533-position model. The record is from RNAcentral.